Bufo gargarizans (Asiatic toad) is the source of this 2029-nucleotide long non-coding RNA. RefSeq lists it as uncharacterized. NCBI's taxonomy places the organism in Eukaryota, Metazoa, Chordata, Amphibia, Anura, Bufonidae. The record is from RefSeq and is a predicted model, not a curated record. The transcript is spliced from 3 exons.
ACCUCUCGGGUAUGGAGGAUGGGAGUGCUCUGUACUGUACUGCUGUCACCUCUCGGGUAUGGAGGAUGGGAGUGUGCUCUGUACUGUACAGCGCAGACACAUCAGGGGAGUCUGUCCCUUUAAUUCCGUCUCUGCUCCGGAUUCAGCUCUAAGUUUCAUUUUACAAGAAGUUGCAUUGUUUUUCUAAAAUGUGAGGCUCCCGGCGGAUGGGGGGGGGGUAUCUGUGAAAAGCUGGGUGACGGCUCCUCCUGGGGCAGCAGUCGUGGACGUUCAUGAUACUUCUUGAGGGAUUUACAUUUACAGUCAGUAACUAUAUCCUGGGUUUGACAUGUGGAGUUUCCCGUUUUCUGUUCGCCGGUGCGGCUCCAGGGUGUGAUCUGCUGCCCUUUAAAUCUGACGACAUCUCUGCGGCUUCUGUAAACUUCCUCUGUGUCUCUUGGUGCUGCUCGUCUCUGGGACUUUUAAUUUUCUCCAUCUGUGACGACGGCAGGACGCCAGGUCGGUUAUGGACGCUGUAGUCGCCAUCGCUUUGUGGCCCUUUCUAUACGCAGGAAAAUGUGGCAGAGCUCUGGUUAAUAUGUUGUGUCCGACAAGAGCUAAGGAGGAAGAAGGACAAAGCGAUCCGAGAGACGACUGCUGCAUCUGUCUUCUGAGCGCGUGCGGGGCCGGGUUUCCACUGGGCAGCCUCUACCGGCCCCCACCGCAGGACUUGGUGGUCUGAGCAGCCACCUCUCCCUUGUCUACCACUGACAGAGAAGAGCCUAAAGGAACUGCCCACUGGACCUUGGACAAUUUUGCUCUUUUAGGGCCUUCCCGAACUUUAGACAAAACCCCCCUCGUACCCCCUGCACGGCCCCUCCCCCCAUUAUCUGCCCCCUUUCUAUGUACUUGACCCCAGAACACGAAAACCUAUUGUUAUAUUGGAGUAGUAUUUCCUGCGUAUAUUUCCAUUGAGAUGGGGGGGGGGGGGGUUAAUGCAGGAUAUUGGGGUACAGGGGUUCUGACCAUUUUCCAGCUCUAGCCCCUUCGUUGCUGUGGGUAGGGACGAUGUCGGGACGCGGUUACCACAGGACGGGUUUCUUCAUGUAACGUUCCCGCUACGUUGACGACGUUCUAUGUUCUUAUUUCCUUCAGUAUAAAUUAUUAUGAAGGCCCUUAGACUCUCACAGAGGUUUGGGUAUAGGGUCCGACCCUACCAUGGCGAUGAGACCCGCGAGGUGGUGGAGGGGCAACCAGGGGUUCAGCUUCUCCUCCCAGAAAACCUUUGGGCAAGGCCAGUCAGUAUUGGCAAGAAGGGGGGCACAGGUAUGAUGUGGCUGCAGGAAAUGAGGCACCCAAACGGGGUCACCAGUGAAGACAAUGGGGUGCUUGCCGGACCAGUCACCGGGGAACGAGCUAGGGCCUCGUUUUGACUGAUUUGCCUUAGUACCACGUAUAUCCUUUCUUGGUUUUAUGGGGUUUUCUAUACCUGUAUCAUAAGCUGAGGGUCAACUGCUGAGGGCACGGACUCGGCCCCUCAGGAUCAUUGAAAGUCCCGGCAUCCGGACCCCUCUGGUUCUUUUUUGGAUGGCGAAAUAAGGGUGGCCGCAAUAUACUGUCCAUCUAUCAUAGGUUAAAGUGGAAUUACUAAAAAAAACUAAUUUUUACAAACUUCAUUUUGCACAAUUUUAGUAUGUAACAAUAAAAAACCACUAUAAGUAAAUUUUCUUAGAAAUGUCUUGCAUCUCAUUAUGGCUGAGUUUAUGACCAAAGCUGCUGAACAUGCAGGGGGUGAUGUAUUAUACUCCAGAGCUGAACUCACGAUUCUGCUGUUUGUGAUAGGAAACAGUUAUCAUGCUUGUUUUUAGGCACAUUCCUAACAGCCCAUAAUGCAGUCCCUUCCACUUUUCCACUGUACAAGACGAUGAACCAGCAGGGGCUGCUGUGUUAUUAUAGUCACGUGCUUUCCUAUUCGUCCAUUGCACUAUUAUUUCCGCAUAAUGAUGUCAUCACCAGAUGUGUAACAAACUUGUAAUAAAAUAAAAAUGUG